RNAcentral lists this non-coding RNA (97 nucleotides) under unclassified sequences. RNAcentral describes it as "RT-17 RNA". It matches the Rfam family "RT-17 RNA". From Rfam's summary of the family: Bacteroidales (Bacteroidetes), Clostridiales (Firmicutes). The record is from Rfam by way of RNAcentral.
GACCUUGCCUCUUGGCAAAACACAAAGCAGAGCCUCAUUUGGUUUGGUAGUCCCGAUAUAUCGGGAUCGAAGAACCAGAGGCGACAUAAGCAAAAAG